RNAcentral lists this ribosomal RNA (315 nucleotides) under uncultured bacterium. RNAcentral describes it as "bacterial SSU rRNA". It matches the Rfam family "Bacterial small subunit ribosomal RNA", at positions 28 to 334 of the family's 1533-position model. The record is from RNAcentral.
GAUGAACGCUGGCGGCGUGCUUAACACAUGCAAGUCGAGCGAAAAUAAUUAGGAGCUUGCUUUUGAUUAUUUUAGCGGCGGACGGGUGAGUAACGUGUGGGCAACCUACCUUUUACUGUGGAAUAAUCGUUGGAAACGACGACUAAUACCGCAUACGGUUCUUGGAAGGCAUCUUCUAAGAAAGAAAGGAUUUAUUCGGUAAAAGAUGGGCCCGCAUCUGAUUAGCUAGUUGGUGAGAUAACAGCCCACCAAGGCAACGAUCAGUAGCCGACCUGAGAGGGUGACCGGCCACAUUGGGACUGAGACACGGCCCAA